Long non-coding RNA from Sarcophilus harrisii (Tasmanian devil), 2043 nucleotides. RefSeq lists it as uncharacterized. Lineage: Eukaryota; Metazoa; Chordata; Mammalia; Dasyuromorphia; Dasyuridae. The transcript has 3 exons. The record is from RefSeq and is a predicted model, not a curated record.
GGCCGGAGCCAGGCAGGAGGACGGCUGGCGCGGGGAUGCUCGGGGACGCCGCUAGCCCCGGCUCCAUCCCUGAGCGUGCAGAGGCUGCUCUCGGCGAUGCGUCCAGCGUGUCCUCUCCGGCCCGCCCCCCCCCCGGGUCCCCAGCAUUGCCCGCCCCACCCCCCUCCCCGGCUCCCACCCCAUCCCCGCGCAUCCCUCCCUCGGGCCGCGCUGCGGGAGCCCGCUGAGGGGGACUCAUCGCCCGCCACCAAUCACGAGGGAGCAGAGCCUCGGCUUCCCCAAUAGCCGAAGAGCGGGGCGCGCUGGCUUAACCCCCCCCCCGCCCUGGGGCGUUUAGGGAUCCUGGCUGCCGCUCUGCUUCCUCCCCUGUCUCGGCGCCUCCGAUCCGGCCCCCGUGAGAGACCCGAGCCCCGGGCCGGGAGGGGCUCCCCGGGGGUGCCUGCUUCUCUAUGGGAGGGGCUCCUCGAGCUCGGGUCCUCGGUUUGAUUUCAGCCCCUUCCCCCGGGGGUGAUUCAGCGGGUGGCUUUGGCGAUUCCUGUCGCCCUCCCUAGGAAGUGCCCGCUAAUGAAUGAGAAGGCAACGGCCGCAGCCGCCCUAAGUGAUGAGUGCAGUGAGCUAGGUACCCUGCACGUGCACGUUUCAAAAAUUCAACUAUGAUCAUCCUCACCGGGUCUGUUCUCCCCUAAAAGACUCAGACCCUGUGGCUGCACUCCAGCCUCCCUGAGUAAAUGAGCGGCCUCCCUGUCUGAUGAUUGAUCUUAAACAAGAUCUUCAACCGGAUAGAGGCAGUCAGGAUCAGCUGGGGCCUGGAUACGCAGAAACCAGCUGAGACAGGGCAGAUUGCUUCUUCCUUAUUCCACAACCAAUGCUAAGCAUGUUAGAGGCUGAUCCCUCACCCUGCUCCCAACCCCUCCCCGUUUCUCCUACAUUCAUCAAUAUCAAACAUUCCUCUUGCGGCCGAUCAGGCUUCACUUUAAACAUCCAACAAGUAUGUGCAGUUCGGAGCAUUUUGUUUUGCCGGGUAACUGUCAUUAUUAUAAGAGAAUAAAUGUUUUAAUAUAAAAGGAGAAAGUAGAAUUUAUUAGACAGGCCCCUCUGGGGCUCAGUAUGUGACAUCUGGCUGUGGAAUUCUCCAAGAGGAGGGUCCCUUUAUCUGAAGACAAAAGAGUCCCAGGACCCAGAAUGCUGGAGCAGCAGGGGUCUCUGUCAGACCUUCGGAGACUGGAACAGAAAAGGCCCAGAAUCAAGAGAGCCACGGGAGGCCGAGAACACAAUGUGAGUCUCUCGGCAGCCACUCUAAUCACAUUACCCACCGGUUUAGAGCACACAGCUUAGCAUAUUGGCUUCCAUAUUCAGGAGCAAAUCUGCUUUCCCUACCCCCACCCUCUUUUUCUCUCCUCCCAUGUAUACCCCCACCCCCUCCUCACACCAAUAAAGCAGCCAAUGAGAGUUCAGCACUGUAGCCAUGCUGUGAGGGUUAAGAGGAAAGGCUUCAAGAGAAUUUUCAUUAAGUCAACUCUGCUUCAGGGAAUAGCUAAUAGAAUAAAGAGAAGCUCCAAUCCUAUCCCCUUCAGAUGAGAUAACUUAUCACAGGUUUAAAAAGGUCCCACUGGGAAUUGCGUAGGAUUUUGCAGGACAGGAUUUUUCCCCCUUCUUAAAAAAAAAAAAAUCAGCCUUUCAGACAAUUUGUAAAAUGCAACAACAGCAACAGCAGCAACCACCAUCAUUACACAUCUCCCUCUUUGGUCUCUCACUAGCUGGUAGGAGAGUUGUGGGUCUGGGUGGCUGCAGCUGCCAUCCAGGGCGGGGAACUGCGCAGAGCUGGGCAAUAUCAUUUGGUGGAUGUAUGAUUUCAUCCUGCAGUGGUCGUUUAAAAUUCUGCACCUGGCACAUCAUUCUGGCCCCAUUCUGCAAUACAUCUGUGUACUAGAUCUAGAGGCAGAUCACGGAAACAAGCUGCCGAGUCCAGUGGCCAGGGCCCUGGGUCCUCUAAGAACCUGAUUGUGGAGAAAUAAAACAGUGGAUGGAAGCAGCUCUGCAGAG